CCUACGGGAGGCUGCAGUGGGGAAUAUUGGACAAUGGGGGGAACCCUGAUCCAGCCAUGCCGCGUGUGUGAAGAAGGCCCUCGGGUUGUAAAGCACUUUCAGUGAGGAAGAACGCCUGGUGGUUAAUACCCAUCAGGAAAGACAUCACUCACAGAAGAAGCACCGGCUAACUCCGUGCCAGCAGCCGCGGUAAUAUGGAGGGUGCGAGCGUUAAUCGGAAUUACUGGGCGUAAAGCGCGCGUAGGUGGCUUGAUAAGCCGGUUGUGAAAGCCCCGGGCUCAACCUGGGAACGGCAUCCGGAACUGUCAAGCUAGAGUGCAGGAGAGGAAGGUAGAAUUCCCGGUGUAGCGGUGAAAUGCGUAGAGAUCGGGAGGAAUACCAGUGGCGAAGGCGGCCUUCUGGACUGACACUGACACUGAGGUGCGAAAGCGUGGGUAGCAAACAGGAUUAGAUACCCCAGUAGUC
RNAcentral lists this ribosomal RNA (465 nucleotides) under Vreelandella stevensii. RNAcentral describes it as "partial 16S ribosomal RNA". It matches the Rfam family "Bacterial small subunit ribosomal RNA", at positions 338 to 795 of the family's 1533-position model. Lineage: Bacteria; Pseudomonadati; Pseudomonadota; Gammaproteobacteria; Oceanospirillales; Halomonadaceae. The record is from RNAcentral.